RNAcentral lists this transfer RNA (66 nucleotides) under Proteomonas sulcata. Lineage: Eukaryota; Cryptophyceae; Pyrenomonadales; Geminigeraceae. The record is from RNAcentral.
AGACCACACUCCAAAAAAUUCGCUUUUUUUUUAUGAUUUUAUUUUUUUUUUUUAAUACAGUGAAAA